RNAcentral lists this ribosomal RNA (465 nucleotides) under uncultured bacterium. RNAcentral describes it as "bacterial SSU rRNA". It matches the Rfam family "Bacterial small subunit ribosomal RNA", at positions 329 to 795 of the family's 1533-position model. The record is from RNAcentral.
AUCCAGACUCCUACGGGAGGCAGCAGUGGGGAAUAUUGCACAAUGGGGGGAACCCUGAUGCAGCGACGCCGCGUGGGUGAAGGAGCACCUCGGUGCGUAAAGCCCUAUCGGCAGGGAAGAAAAGCGAACAGGUUCGCCUGGACGGUACCUGACUAAGAAGCCCCGGCUAACUACGUGCCAGCAGCCGCGGUAAUAAGGAGGGGGCAAGCGUUAUCCGGAUUCACUGGGGGUAAAGGGAGCGUAGACGGCCAUGCAAGCCAGGGGUGAAAGCCCGGGGCCCAACCCCGGGACUGCCCUUGGAACUGCCUGGCUGGAGUGCGGGAGGGGCAGGCGGAAUUCCUGGUGUAGCGGUGAAAUGCGUAGAUAUCAGGAGGAACACCGGCGGCGAAGGCGGCCUGCUGGACUGCGACUGACGUUGAGGCUCUAAAGCGUGGGGAGCGAACAGGAUUAGAUACCCCCGUACCU